RNAcentral lists this long non-coding RNA (948 nucleotides) under Mus musculus (house mouse). RNAcentral's name for it is "long non-coding RNA chr4:117189943-117190891". The stretch from base 1 to 114 matches the Rfam family "U5 spliceosomal RNA". The record is from RNAcentral. Lineage: Eukaryota; Metazoa; Chordata; Mammalia; Rodentia; Muridae.
ACUCUGGUUUCUCUUCAGAUCGUAUAAAUCUUUCGCCUUUUACUAAAGAUUUCCGUGGAGAGGAACAAUUCUGAGUCUUAACCCAAUUUUUUGAGGUCCUGCUCGUGCAGGGCUAAUAAUUCUGGUUUAAGAUUAGAACUUAUGUUCCUGAAAUAGGAAAACUUCUGAGUAGUUACUUAUUUCAGUUUGUCUGCCUAUCUUCUGAGUAAUUAGUACUAUUAGUAUUUAGUUCAAUUGAAGCCUGUUCUUGGGCUUUCUUUCACAUCUCUAGCAGUACCUCCCCAGAAAAAGGAUUACUAAUUUAGUCAGACAGUCAUGUUUAUGUUUAUACAGAUCAGUAAGUGCUCUUAUUUUGUAGCAUUUUUUUUCAUGACUAAAGUCUCAUUAUGCAGGCCAGGCUGGCCUGCCUCUGUGCUGCAUUUAAAUUAGUGUACCAGUAUGAGCAUACUUUCUACUAAGUUACUAGUUCUAGGUUCCUCAGGAUGGGGGUGGGUGGUAACGUGUCUGUAACUCCAGCACUGUGGUCAUGGACAUGCAGGUGGAUUCCUGUAUCCAUACUAACUGACACUGCUUGGGUGACAAAGAGCCAGAGACUAGGUAGCUCAGAGAGCUAGGGAGAAACAACACAGCAGGAGCUGCAGAAAUGGCUAAGCAAUAAAAACCUGUUGCUCUUGCAAAUCUGUUGCUCUUGCAAGUUUUUUGUUUGUUUUUGUUUUGUUUCGAGACAGGGUUUCUCUAUAUAGCUCUGGCUGUCCUGGAACUCACUUUGUAGACCAGGCUGGCCUCGAACUCAGAAAUCCGCCUGCUUCUGUCUCCCUGGGAUUAAAAGCGUUCGCCACCACGCCUGGCUCAGCUCUUGCAAGUUUGAUUCCAGUUACCUGUAACUCUAGCAUCCUUCCCUCUGGCCUCCCUGCAUGGACAUAUUUAAAAAUAAUGAGAAUAAAUUAU